This 827-nucleotide ribosomal RNA is filed under the name Candidatus Phytoplasma hispanicum. RNAcentral's name for it is "bacterial SSU rRNA". It matches the Rfam family "Bacterial small subunit ribosomal RNA", at positions 702 to 1533 of the family's 1533-position model. The record is from RNAcentral. Lineage: Bacteria; Bacillati; Mycoplasmatota; Mollicutes; Acholeplasmatales; Acholeplasmataceae.
AGGAACACCAUGAGCGAAGGCGGCUUGCUGGGUCUUAACUGACGCUGAGGCACGAAAGCGUGGGGAGCAAACAGGAUUAGAUACCCUGGUAGUCCACGCCGUAAACGAUGAGUACUAGACGUUGGGUUAAACCAGUGUCGAAGUUAACACAUUAAGUACUCCGCCUGAGUAGUACGUACGCAAGUAUGAAACUUAAAGGAAUUGACGGGACUCCGCACAAGCGGUGGAUCAUGUUGUUUAAUUCGAAGGUACCCGAAAAACCUCACCAGGUCUUGACAUGUUUCUGCAAAGCUGUAGAAAUACAGCGGAGGUUAUCAGUUGCACAGGUGGUGCAUGGUUGUCGUCAGCUCGUGUCGUGAGAUGUUGGGUUAAGUCCCGCAACGAGCGCAACCCUUGUUGUUAAUUGCCAUCAUUAAGUUGGGGACUUUAGCAAGACUGCCAGUGAUAAAUUGGAGGAAGGUGGGGACGACGUCAAAUCAUCAUGCCCCUUAUGACCUGGGCUACAAACGUGAUACAAUGGCUGUUACAAAGGGUAGCUGAAGCGCAAGCUUUUGGCAAAUCUCAAAAAAACAGUCUCAGUUCGGAUUGAAGUCUGCAACUCGACUUCAUGAAGUUGGAAUCGCUAGUAAUCGCGAAUCAGCAUGUCGCGGUGAAUACGUUCUCGGGGUUUGUACACACCGCCCGUCAAACCACGAAGGUUGGCAAUACCCAAAGCCGGUGGCCUAACUUGAGCAAUCAAGAGGGAUCCGUCUAAGGUAGGGUCGAUGAUUGGGGUUAAGUCGUAACAAGGUAUCCCUACCGGAAGGUGGGGAUGGAUCACCUCCUUU